ACCCUAUUAUAAAAAAUGUAAAUAUUAGUAUUAGGGUAGUAUUAGUUAUGUUCUUGAAAUUUAAAAAAUUUGGCGGUAUUUUAGUCUUUUCAGAGGAACCUGUCCUGUAAUCGAUAAUCCACGAUAAAUUUUACUUAAUUUAUAAGUUUAUAUAUCGUCGUAAUUUGAAUAUCUUAAAAGAGAAAAAAUAUUCAAAAAUUAAAAUUUAUAAAAAAAAUCAGAUCAAGGUGUAGCGUAUAAUUAAGUAGUGAUGGGUUACAAUAAAGUUAUUUAAAUGGUUAUAAUAAUUAAAAUUAUUAUAUAAAGUGGAUUUGAAAGUAAUAUAUUUAAUUUUAAAUAUAUGAUUAAAGCUCUAAAAUAUG
This 362-nucleotide ribosomal RNA is filed under the name Helictopleurus rudicollis. RNAcentral describes it as "partial 12S ribosomal RNA". Lineage: Eukaryota; Metazoa; Arthropoda; Insecta; Coleoptera; Scarabaeidae. The record is from RNAcentral.